AAAAUUGUGAAAUGUAAGUCGCUCUGGAUAAGAGCGUCUGCUAAAUGACAAAUA
This is a non-coding RNA of Salmo salar (Atlantic salmon), 54 nucleotides long. NCBI's taxonomy places the organism in Eukaryota, Metazoa, Chordata, Actinopteri, Salmoniformes, Salmonidae. The record is from Rfam.